UUUGUUUGUUUUGAAGGUGUGACAAGGAAAAUGAGCUUCUCACCAACAGGCUUCUGUGACUGAGAACUGAGUGUCUCUAAACUCCUAGUUCAGCAUUGUGGUAUGGUGCUUCAUACACCUAGAGCCCAAGUACACGCCCGUCCCAGCAGCCUCAACGUCACCUAUCAGGACCAAGCCUGCCUGCGAAGAAUGCCAGCUGCAACCACACUUUCCAGGAUGGUGCUGUCUAUUCCUGUUGCCAUGGAAAAACCAUUGUGAUCGUGGACCUUUCUAGUCCUCUAGUCCUCUACAACUUGGAUCUGAAUAAACAACUAGUGGCCCAGUCUUCAGCAUUCUGAUGUAGCAGCCUCAAACAGACUGAAAGGGAAGCCUUGAUCGUUGGAAGCACAGUAAUUGCAGUAAUUUCCAUCCUGUGGAACAUAACAAAAACAAGGAAGAAUUGGUUAAAAUGGAACAUUCCUCCCUGCACUUGAUACUUUGUGUAUUAAUCUAGCUUUGUUCUGUCUGCCUCUUUAAAACUCAAGAAUUUCAAAAGCU
RNAcentral lists this long non-coding RNA (537 nucleotides) under Rattus norvegicus (Norway rat). RNAcentral's name for it is "long non-coding RNA NONRATT032300". The record is from RNAcentral. Lineage: Eukaryota; Metazoa; Chordata; Mammalia; Rodentia; Muridae.